GGGUUCAUUUUGACUCUUAAAAGUUUGUUCAUUUUGACUCUUAAAAGUUUUCUUUAGAUAAUUAAAAAAAAAGCUCAUGAAUUUUGUCACUUUCUCUAAGGAAUUACUCCUCACGUACACUCUUCUAGAAUAGGAUUUCCAUAUUCAAUUUUCUUGGGCAUCAUGGAAACCUCACCUCGACAUCUCACGUGACUCACAAAAAUCACUGAUAAUACACAAUCAAGUAGCAUUGGGGUCCCACGGUUUGGAGAAACAGAGAGGGAAAAGGAAAAAACAUUGCUCAUCUUCUCCAUAAGGCAAAAUUUCCUCCAUCUACACAAAACUCCACCAAAAUUUCAGUUCUUUACACAUACUUUUAACAUGGAAACUACUUAAUUCCAUCACCUCUAUUCAACUAAUGUUUGGACCACAAAUUAACAAAAGCUCCUCCCGUGAACUUUCCUUGACUGCAACACCACCCUUUCUCUAUUUUUAAAGCUCCCCCACCACCGUCCUUUAUCAUUUUCUUUGUCAAAAUUAUCAGUGAGUUAGAAAUCAGAAAUGGGUUGAAUAUUAAGGGUAAAUUUCGGGCUAGAUCUCUAGAUUUGAACUCCAACCGAAGUUGCCGUUAGAGUGGGUAUUGUUCGAGUGUUAGGGUCUGCGGUAUCGGUCCAGAUUUGAAACGCAAUCGAGGUGCUAUCGUCAGAUUUGGUUUCUAGUUCAUCUCUGAGUAAUGUUGUUGCUGUAUAAAGAGGAGCUUAAUCAAAAUCUGGAGAAAACUUUGCUACACAAAAGAUUCGGGACGUUUGGAUACCAAUUCACGCGGUUUUGAGAUAAAUAUCUUGCCUAACUUUGAGUGGGAAAUUACCCCUUAGUCAUCGAGUCUUAUGUGUCAUUUGUGAAAUGUGAAAAGCCGUGUACGCGAGGUGACGAGUACGUACUCGGGCUUAUUUGUGCAAAUUUUAUUGGGUUAAAGUCUUAGGCAUUAUUGUGUAGUAAAUUGGAUAAUUGUUGGCAUUUAUUAAAUCAUCUAUUUGUCAUGCCUCAAUCAUUGUUUGUUGAAUUUGUUUUUAUAUGAUAAUUUGAUGUGAUUGUUACUUGAAUAUUUAUGUAAAUUCCGUGAGUUUGUUGAUUUGAUAUUUUCUGAAAAUAAUUAUAUUAUAGAUUUUUUCAUCUGCAAAUAAUUAAUGAACUAAGUUUAAACUGAGACGUUAAUAUAAUUAUCAAGAAUUUGAAUUAAUGAUGGCUUUUUCCUAUACUGAGUAUUUUUUAUCUCUGUUGAUUGUUUUUAAGAUUUUAUAUACGUUGUGUGGAGCCUUGGGCUAUUUUUGAAAAAUUUAUUGAUUUUACUAUUGAUUCGGUUAGUGAUAUUUAACCUUGUUCAUGAUUGAACCCUAGAAUCAAUGAUUGCAAACAUUGAUUCAUGCCUAUUUGACUUAGCCCCUGCUUAAGAAAGAGAGACUAAGUCUAGGAAAACUUGGCUAACAAGAAAUUGGGGUGAACUCAAGAAAUUGAUAGCCCCAAUUAAAGGGUUAAAACCUAGAGAUAGUAAUAUCCGACUUGAGCUAAUAUCACUUGUAUUGUGCAAAUACCCAAUUGGGCUUGAGAAAGCCAAAUUAAAAAAAAUCACUCAAACUACCGAGAGGUAUAGAGUGAGUAUCCGGAUGUGAUUGCUACAUCCCUCAACUAAUCAAAUUUGCCCUGGAGUUUACAACCCAUUAGAUAACCACCUAGGUAGAAGUCACAACCCUAAUCCCUUUUAAUCAUUUGAAAAACUCAAAACCAAAAAUAUUGUCCUUAGUUUUAUACUUGCAAACAAUAAAGUAAAGUAGAAGUAAAAUACCAAUCAAGUUUGUGGUAGUGUAAUUAGAGUAAAAACUUGCAAUUAACUUAUAUAUACACCUAAUCCCAUAUUCUAACUCCAUGUGGAUUCGAUCCCGACAUUCGUUGGGUUUAUUAUUGCAUCGACCGCCUCACUACUUAAUUGUGGUGUGGGUUUGGCCGAGAUCAAUUUUUGGCGUCGUUGCCGGGGAGUUAAACGGAUUUAGCUAUAUAUCUAGGUAUUUGUGUGUUUUGUCUUUCUUUCCUUCCAAGUCACUAAUUUUAUUUGUGAAUUGCUUUUAGGUACAAAAUGGCCCUUAACAACGAGCCCCUCGAAAAUUUACCAUUGGGGGAGGAGGUAGAUGAUGAUUAAGUAGAUGAGGUUCAUCCCGAGCCUCAAGUAAAC
Molecule: long non-coding RNA, 2206 nt
Filed under: Nicotiana tabacum (common tobacco)
Lineage: Eukaryota; Viridiplantae; Streptophyta; Magnoliopsida; Solanales; Solanaceae
Description: long non-coding RNA (NTAB_LNC017955)
Source: RNAcentral